GACGAACGCUGGCGGCGUGCUUAACACAUGCAAGUCGAACGGUGACGAGGAGCUUGCUCCUCUGAUCAGUGGCGAACGGGUGAGUAACACGUGAGCAACCUGCCCCAGACUCUGGGAUAACAGUUGGAAACAGCUGCUAAUACCGGAUACGAGACGGAGAGGCAUCUCUACCGUCUGGAAAGUUUUUCGGUCUGGGAUGGACUCGCGGCCUAUCAGCUAGUUGGUGAGGUAAUGGCUCACCAAGGCGACGACGGGUAGCCGGCCUGAGAGGGCGACCGGCCACACUGGGACUGAGACACGGCCCAGACUCCUACGGGAGGCAGCAGUGGGGAAUAUUGCACAAUGGGCGAAAGCCUGAUCCAGCAACGCCGCGUGAGGGAUGACGGCCUUCGGGUUGUAAACCUCUUUCAGUAGGGACGAAGCGCAAGUGACGGUACCUACAGAAGAAGCACCGGCCAACUACGUG
RNAcentral lists this ribosomal RNA (466 nucleotides) under uncultured bacterium. RNAcentral's name for it is "bacterial SSU rRNA". It matches the Rfam family "Bacterial small subunit ribosomal RNA", at positions 28 to 507 of the family's 1533-position model. The record is from RNAcentral.